UAUAUAGUUCGAUUUUAACUAUCAGUUUGAUUAAAACAAAAUAUAAUACAUGCAACUCGCCAGACACCCGUGCAACAAUAAAACUUCUUAAAGAAUAAAACCGGUGGAUAAGAAUAUCUAACCCCCACUUUCACGCCUGCAGUAAAGAAUAUUGUGAUAAAUAAAACAUAUGUUCCAAAUAUUGUAUUGUGUGCUGACCAAAUUCGUGCCAGCCGUCGCGGUUAAACGAUAAGCACAAACCAAACCUUACGGGCAACGUUAUGAUAAAACCUAUAAAUUAUUUAAUGGUACAAUAUAUAUAAUUUAACUUACUUAUUUUAUAUCAACAUAAUUAAACGAAAGAAUAAUCAAAAACAAGGAUUAGAUACCCUUUUAUUUUAUUCAAUAAAUAAAUGUCCCGGGCAUUACGAACACACGUUUAAAACCCAAAAAAUUUGGCGGCGUUUCAUGUAAUUAGGGGAAUCUGUCAUUUAAUUCGAUAACCCACGCUAAACCCUACUACCCCUUGCAAUACAGCUUGUGUACUGCCGUCGAAAGCUAACACACCAAAGUAGUUAGCCUCUUAGCUACCUCUAUUACGUCAGGUCAAAAUGCAGCUUACAGGGUAGCACUGAUGGAUUACAUUAAUAAUAUAACAGAAUAAUGAAAUUAAAAAUCAUUUGAAUAUGGACUUAAUAGUAAACCCCUUAUAGUAUAAAGGCUUGAAAAACAAUCUGAAACGUGUACACAUCGCCCGUCACUCUCACUGAAAAGAGAGAUAAGUCGUAACAUAGUAGGCGUAACUGAAGUUGUGCCU
RNAcentral lists this non-coding RNA (796 nucleotides) under Nereis sp. RNAcentral describes it as "12S ribosomal RNA". The stretch from base 400 to 796 matches the Rfam family "Microsporidia small subunit ribosomal RNA", at positions 752 to 1302 of the family's 1311-position model. The record is from RNAcentral. Lineage: Eukaryota; Metazoa; Annelida; Polychaeta; Phyllodocida; Nereididae.